CAGGAAGCCACCAUGUCCGGCCAAGAAAAAGUCUAGUCUACUACACAACCCCACCCCACCCCACCACCCUAAAGCAUUAACCUUUUUCUUAACCUGAGAUGAGAGCACCAUCUCACAGACAAGCACAUUGUGGUUGUUGGAAAAGGUAGAGGGGACGAGCUUUUGUGUUGAAGCUUGAAAGCUGUUACAAAUUCUUUGGCAUGUGUUAAGAAAAGCAAACUGGGUUGAAUAUAUACACAUCUCUUUUUUUUUUGGUUAUUUUUCCAUUUUCUUUGUUUUUCCCCAAGAGAUAUUGCACCCACUGACAGACUGAACUUCAUAAUACAGAAACUGUGAAGCAUAUGACUAAAGAGGAUUGGAGGGGGAGAGGAGCCUAGAGGAAAGGAGAGGAGGUAAGUUUAGCGUGACAGGCUAAAGAGGAGCUCAGCAAUGUUCACAUGAACACAAGAAAAAUUACAGGGGAGUUCUUUGCAGAAAACUGCCAACUACAGCUCAGAAGGUGCGGCCCCAAAGAAGCGUGCAUUUAUGUGUUUGAUCACAUGACUCUCUAGCACUUAUGCAGCCAAUCAGCUGUAGCGAUUCUGGUUCACUGCGAAGUUUACUGGGUCACUACAAAUCAGAGGGAAGGCAUUGAAUGAGAUAGGAAAAAGGGAAUAAGACUGUUACACUUGCCAGCUUUCUUGAAGGCCUUAUUUUUUGUCUCUUAUAAAUCUCUUUUUUUCAUUUAUUACUUCUUGUUAUAGGAAAUAUAUUUGCUGCUGCUUAGUUUAACUAAAAGAGCAGUGAUACACAGAUCGCUGUCAGAUUCAGUCUCCCAUUACUGUGAGUUAACAGCAUAAAAAUAUUAUUCAUCCUUCACUGUUUCUGAAUUCAGGUCCCAGGUGUAAAUGUCAGACAGCAUGGCAGCACACACCUGAAGUUGUUAAGAAGCUACUGUCAGUAUAUUUAUCACCAAUAUCCUGCUGAGUGUGUAAAUGUGCACAUCAGUUUGUCCAACAUCUUUUGGUUUCCUGUCUACUUUCCUCCAGCUAUUAUUG
This is a long non-coding RNA of Astatotilapia calliptera (eastern happy), 1037 nucleotides long. NCBI's taxonomy places the organism in Eukaryota, Metazoa, Chordata, Actinopteri, Cichliformes, Cichlidae. The record is from Ensembl.